AACGCAUCUUGCGCUCCUUGGUAUUCCGAGGAGCAUGCCUGUUUGAGUGUCAUUAAAUUCUCAACCUUACCAGCUUUGCUGCUUGGUCUGGCUUGGAUAUGGGGGUUUUUGCAGGCUUUCGCAAGUCAGCUCCCCUGAAAUGCAUUAGCGGUGCCCUUUGUGGUAAACGGCUAUUGGUGUGAUAAUUAUCUACGCCAUUAGACGCCCACGACUUUAUGGGGGUUAUGCCGCUUCUAACUGUCCAUUGACUUGGACAAAUCAAUGACAUUUUUGACCUCAAAUCAGGUAGGACUACCCGCUGAACUUAA
RNAcentral lists this unclassified non-coding RNA (308 nucleotides) under uncultured Crepidotus. Its description in RNAcentral is "sequence contains ITS2". The stretch from base 1 to 52 matches the Rfam family "5.8S ribosomal RNA", at positions 103 to 154 of the family's 154-position model. The record is from RNAcentral. Lineage: Eukaryota; Fungi; Basidiomycota; Agaricomycetes; Agaricales; Crepidotaceae.